GCUCAGGCAAACACAUAUUCUAUACUAAGGAACUCGGCAAAUUUCUUGCGUAUCUUUGGUAGAAGCAAGCCCGAUUUUUUUCCUCUUUAAAUUUCUGAGGUUGGGUAAAUAGGGGGCACAAAAUAGGGGUGGGGAUCUGUUUAGCAAAAACACAGGACUUUGCCACGUGAAAACACUAAGUAUAAGGUCUGAUGCCUGCCCGGUACCAAGGGAUAAGAAUUUUUUGUGCAAAGCAAAAAACCUAAAGGACUGGUAAACGGCAGCCCUAACUCUGAGGGUUCUAAGGUAAGCGAAAUUCCUUGUCGAAUAAUUGUCGACCCGCAUGAAUGGCAUCAUCACCCACCCACUGUCUCAGUAUAGAUGUGGGCGAAUUUGACAUUCUCGUGAAGAGGCGAGAAUACUGCCACGGGACAAUGAGACCCCGUGCACCUUUACUCUAAGCUGAAAGCGCAUUCUUUUGAAUAUCUUUUUCAGAAUAGGUGGCAGUUUAAAUACGCAAGUGAGAUACCACCAUUGAUAUUGAAAAAAGCUUAGAGAAUAUUUAUUUUCUCUAUUUUUUAGCUUGGGAGUUUGUCUGGGGCGGAAUCCUCCAAAAAAAUAUCGGGGGUGUACCAAGGUAUGGUCAAACUAUUUUUAUGGUAAAUAAGUGAGUAUGAUAACCCAUUCACCAUGCCUGACUGUUAGGCUUUCAAGCCAAGCAGGGUGUUUGUUCCUUUAUUUCAUAAAGGAAUAACACAUUCUAUUCUAUUUUACGGGACCCCGUGAAAGAAAUUAGAAUUACGAAAGUAUGUGGUAAUGAACCAGCACUUUGUAGUGGAAUAAAGUGUUGAUCAACGGAUCAAAGGUACGCCGGGGAUAACAGGUUUAUCAACCCCUAGAGUUCAAAUCGCCGGGUUGGUUUGAUAAAGAAAAGGUCGGCUCAUCGCGUCCUCUAGCUGAAGAAGGUUAGAAGGGUUAGACUGUUCGUCUAUGAAAGCGGUACGUGAGCUGGGUUCAGUGCGUGGUGACACAGCACGGUUCUUCUCUGUGGCAGUUUUAUGGACGAAAUGCAAAGGCUUUAUAGUACGAAAGGACCUUUAAGCCCACACCUCUGGUACAUCAGUUGUAUUCAAAUAAAGUGCAUUGCUGAGCAGCUAAGUGUGUAAACAAAAUGGUUGAAAGCAUCUGAAACCAGAAAGAAAUGCAUAAUAAAGUCUCUUUUUUUGGUUCUAUACUUGAACCGAAUCGGUAUCGUGUAAACUCAAUGAAAAUUUAU
Molecule: ribosomal RNA, 1255 nt
Filed under: Hariotina sp. MMOGRB0030F
Lineage: Eukaryota; Viridiplantae; Chlorophyta; Chlorophyceae; Sphaeropleales; Scenedesmaceae
Description: bacterial LSU rRNA
Rfam family: Bacterial large subunit ribosomal RNA
Source: RNAcentral